This 454-nucleotide ribosomal RNA is filed under the name uncultured bacterium. Its description in RNAcentral is "bacterial SSU rRNA". It matches the Rfam family "Bacterial small subunit ribosomal RNA", at positions 29 to 479 of the family's 1533-position model. The record is from RNAcentral.
AUUGAACGCUGGCGGCAUGCCUUACACAUGCAAGUCGAACGGCAGCAUGGGUGCUUGCACCUGAUGGCGAGUGGCGAACGGGUGAGUAAUGCAUCGGAACGUACCCGGAAGUGGGGGAUAACGUAGCGAAAGUUACGCUAAUACCGCAUAUUCUGUGAGCAGGAAAGCGGGGGAUCGCAAGACCUCGCGCUUCCGGAGCGGCCGAUGUCGGAUUAGCUAGUUGGCGGGGUAAAGGCCCACCAAGGCAACGAUCCGUAGCGGGUCUGAGAGGAUGAUCCGCCACACUGGGACUGAGACACGGCCCAGACUCCUACGGGAGGCAGCAGUGGGGAAUAUUGGACAAUGGGCGCAAGCCUGAUCCAGCCACGCCGCGUGAGUGAUGAAGGCCUUCGGUCGUAAGCUCUGUGGGGAGGGACGGAACGGCGCCGAUGAAGAGUGGCGAGUUGACGGUACC